This 1160-nucleotide long non-coding RNA is filed under the name Physcomitrium patens. RNAcentral's name for it is "long non-coding RNA (PPAT_LNC004479)". Lineage: Eukaryota; Viridiplantae; Streptophyta; Bryopsida; Funariales; Funariaceae. The record is from RNAcentral.
GUAAAACAGUGAGACAUGUGGCCAUAUGUAAAACGGGUUGUGAACUCUGCAAAAUAUGAACCUUUUUGAUGAAAAUGAAGACCCAUCCAUGCAGUGAAUGAGAGCCACCACUUGUCUCCUCGAGCAAUCUUAAGAGCGAUGUAACAUAUGUCCAUGUAUGCAAGUUUCAUGGGUUCAAAGCAGUAUAAUCAAGCCGCACAAUUAAGGCAUUUAUAUGGAACACUCAACUCCCCAAGAUGAAGCAUCUCACUCAACAGAAGCGAAUUCAACAUGAUCAAACUGAACUGAAUACUUAGUGAAGGACAAACAUACUUCGUACCACAAACCCAUCAAACCAAUGCAGUAGACGUGCAGUUCAUUCCAAGUACAACACUGGGUCGAUAGAUCUGAAAACAGAACAUGUCUGUAUAUGUGUGGAAAAUGUUGAAUGCCAUGAACCUGAAAGACAACUAACUAAUUGACGACGUCACGCUAAAUGACGAUAAGGACCGCUGUUUCGGCAGUUGUUCAGGUUCAAUAGACAUACAUUAACUCAUGCUUGUGAGCGUCUGAACUGAGCACAUAAUAAGAAAAAGCCACAGCUACCCGUCAUGAGCUGAACAAAGACUUGUUGACAAGUAACAAGCAAGGACAAAUACAUAGGCACUAAAACGUAAGAUAUCGGAGAAAACCUAAAAAACCAAACAAAUGAAAACAAAAGAAACUACUUAGGGUGAUCGUGGACCAGGACUUACAUCCCUUCCAUAUGACACUAAUCCUGCAUUCUCACCUGAAGAUCUGCUCCGCGAUGGAGAAACACUGACUGAUGGUGUCGUUGACCUGCGUCGUCGGCGAUCAGGUUUAUCCCUAGCAUAGGAGACUAAUUUCUUCCUGCCAGGUGAGAGACUUUUGGACGACGAUCGACUUGGAGAGUGUGAUAUGGAAGAGGUGGCACUUGGAGAACGACGUAUCGCUGCUCCAGCGGCUCCGUUGUUUGGUCCAUCUUUAGGUGAGCUAGUACGUCGGGGCCUAAGGCGAUUACGGAGGUCAUUGCUGAUGGGAGCACGACCUCCAGACGGGGAUGCACUACGACUGAUGCUACGAGAAAUAUCCCUUCGGCUAAGAUCACGGCGGGCAGGAGGACUACGACUUCGACUCCUGCUGACAUGCCUCCUGUAUCU